Molecule: unclassified non-coding RNA, 611 nt
Filed under: Hevea brasiliensis (rubber tree)
Lineage: Eukaryota; Viridiplantae; Streptophyta; Magnoliopsida; Malpighiales; Euphorbiaceae
Source: RNAcentral
CGCGGCUGCCGCGGGGUUGCUAACAACAGCAGGUGAGAGCUAGCGGUUGGAAGAUGCGGACCAUGGGAGACAGACAGCAACACAUGCAAUGGUAGAAGUCUGGGAGGGAAAGAGUGACAGAUGCAAUGGUGUAAUAGAUUUAGGAAGAAAAUAAAUUAAAAUAAUGAGAAAUGAGAGAACGGAAACCAUUUUUUAAGGUUUCUUUUUUUCUUGUUUUUAUUUUUGAAAUGCUUUUGAGAAAAGUGUAAAAAUGAAAACAUAUCAGGUUCACCGUGAGCAUGUUAUUUAUUUAUUUAUUUUUUAGUGUAUGGGUGCUACGAGUAAGAAAGUAGGAGCAUUUUAGUUUUAAAGAUAUGCUAAUAGAUUCUGAAAAUGGAACCCUCUGAACUUCACCAAUUACAAAUUAUCUUCAUAAAAUUGAGAGAGCGAUGAUUUGAAAGAAGGUAAUAAUAGCCGAAAAUUUAGACCCCAAAUGGUCUGGCAAAUCGAAAUUUGACGUCAUCAUCUAUGCUUAAUCAAUUGCAGUGAAAUUAACUUGAACACUUAGGUUUAUAUUUUAUUGCAGUACCCUCAGAAUUGGCCACCAUCAAUUCAUGAAUUGGGGAUUGUUG